This 528-nucleotide ribosomal RNA is filed under the name uncultured bacterium. Its description in RNAcentral is "bacterial SSU rRNA". It matches the Rfam family "Bacterial small subunit ribosomal RNA", at positions 981 to 1509 of the family's 1533-position model. The record is from RNAcentral.
UUGACAUCCAGCGAAUUCGGUAGAGAUACCUUAGUGCCUUCGGGAACGCUGAGACAGGUGCUGCAUGGCUGUCGCCAGCUCGUGUUGUGAAAUGUUGGGUUAAGUCCCGCAACGAGCGCAACCCUUAUCCUUUGUUGCCAGCGGUCCGGCCGGGAACUCAAAGGAGACUGCCAGUGAUAAACUGGAGGAAGGUGGGGAUGACGUCAAGUCAUCAUGGCCCUUACGAGUAGGGCUACACACGUGCUACAAUGGCGCAUACAAAGAGAAGCGACCUCGCGAGAGCAAGCGGACCUCAUAAAGUGCGUCGUAGUCCGGAUUGGAGUCUGCAACUCGACUCCAUGAAGUCGGAAUCGCUAGUAAUCGUAGAUCAGAAUGCUACGGUGAAUACGUUCCCGGGCCUUGUACACACCGCCCGUCACACCAUGGGAGUGGGUUGCAAAAGAAGUAGGUAGCUUAACCUUCGGGAGGGCGCUUACCACUUUGUGAUUCAUGACUGGGGUGAAGUCGUAACAAGGUAAGCGUACGUGU